This 308-nucleotide ribosomal RNA is filed under the name uncultured bacterium. RNAcentral's name for it is "bacterial SSU rRNA". It matches the Rfam family "Bacterial small subunit ribosomal RNA", at positions 29 to 327 of the family's 1533-position model. The record is from RNAcentral.
AGCGAACGCUGGCGGUAUGCUUAACACAUGCAAGUCGAGCGCGAAAGUGACUUCGGUCAUGAGUAGAGCGGCGGACGGGUGAGUAACACGUGGAUAAUCUGCCUUUAGGACUGGGAUAACCCUGGGAAACUAGGGCUAAUACCGGAUAAGACCACAGGUUCCAUGGAACCAGGGGUAAAAGGCGGCCUUCGGGCUGUCGCCGAAAGAUGAGUCCGCGUCCCAUCAGGUAGUUGGUGAGGAACGGCUCACCAAGCCGAAGACGGGUAGCCGACCUUAGCGGGUGAUCGGCCACACGGGGACUGAGACAC